RNAcentral lists this ribosomal RNA (751 nucleotides) under bacterium. RNAcentral's name for it is "bacterial SSU rRNA". It matches the Rfam family "Bacterial small subunit ribosomal RNA", at positions 72 to 808 of the family's 1533-position model. The record is from RNAcentral.
AAGGGAGCUUGCUCCCGGAUGUUAGCGGCGGACGGGUGAGUAACACGUGGGUAACCUGCCUGUAAGACUGGGAUAACUCCGGGAAACCGGAGCUAAUACCGGAUAGUUCCUUGAACCGCAUGGUUCAAGGAUGAAAGACGGUUUCGGCUGUCACUUACAGAUGGACCCGCGGCGCAUUAGCUAGUUGGUGAGGUAACGGCUCACCAAGGCGACGAUGCGUAGCCGACCUGAGAGGGUGAUCGGCCACACUGGGACUGAGACACGGCCCAGACUCCUACGGGAGGCAGCAGUAGGGAAUCUUCCGCAAUGGACGAAAGUCUGACGGAGCAACGCCGCGUGAGUGAUGAAGGUUUUCGGAUCGUAAAGCUCUGUUGUUAGGGAAGAACAAGUGCAAGAGUAACUGCUUGCACCUUGACGGUACCUAACCAGAAAGCCACGGCUAACUACGUGCCAGCAGCCGCGGUAAUACGUAGGUGGCAAGCGUUGUCCGGAAUUAUUGGGCGUAAAGGGCUCGCAGGCGGUUUCUUAAGUCUGAUGUGAAAGCCCCCGGCUCAACCGGGGAGGGUCAUUGGAAACUGGGAAACUUGAGUGCAGAAGAGGAGAGUGGAAUUCCACGUGUAGCGGUGAAAUGCGUAGAGAUGUGGAGGAACACCAGUGGCGAAGGCGACUCUCUGGUCUGUAACUGACGCUGAGGAGCGAAAGCGUGGGGAGCGAACAGGAUUAGAUACCCUGGUAGUCCACGCCGUAAACG